Molecule: ribosomal RNA, 439 nt
Filed under: uncultured bacterium
Lineage: Bacteria
Description: partial 16S ribosomal RNA
Rfam family: Bacterial small subunit ribosomal RNA
Source: RNAcentral
CUACGGGCUGCUCCAGUGAGGAAUAUUGCACAAUGGGGGGAACCCUGAUGCAGCAACGCCGCGUGGAGGAUGACGCAUUUCGGUGUGUAAACUCCUUUUAUAUGUCAAGAAAAUGACGGUAGCAUAUGAAUAAGCACCGGCUAACUCCGUGCCAGCAGCCGCGGUAAUACGGAGGGUGCAAGCGUUACUCGGAAUCACUGGGCGUAAAGGACGCGUAGGCGGGUUGGAAAGUCAGGUGUGAAAUCCUACAGCUUAACUGUAGAACUGCACUUGAAACUUCUAAUCUAGAGUAUGGGAGGGGGAGAUGGAAUUAGUGGUGUAGGGGUAAAGUCCGUAGAUGUCACUAGGAAUACCUAAAGCGAAGGCGAUCUCCUGGAACAUUACUGACGCUAAGGCGUGAAAGCGUGGGGAGCAAACAGGAUUAGAUACCCGAGUAGUU